GCCAAUUCAAAAGAAAAAGGAAAGCAACCCAAACAAACCUUUAAAACUUACCAAAAUGAACGAGGAACCACCUGAAUACCAGAUUGCAACAAUCGGAACAAACGAUUGUCGAAUAGAGAAGAGAGAAAAAUAACAAAAGAAAACAUAAGGGAAAGGAAGAGGGAGAGAAAACUAACGUCAGAAAAGAAAGAAAAAUUGAGUAAAGGGAAAAAAAUAAAAUAAAAUAAAUUUAAAUUUAAAUCCCACAAUAUCUCAACCCCCCAUUAUCCCACUAACUAACAAACCCCACUAAAUCGACCCACUAACUCUCAACUACCUCAGAAUCCCACUUUCACCGAACCUAGAUUACACAACCGAAACAAAAUUUAUCAUAUCUUAC
This 379-nucleotide long non-coding RNA is filed under the name Gossypium raimondii (Peruvian cotton). RNAcentral's name for it is "long non-coding RNA (GRAI_LNC007818)". Lineage: Eukaryota; Viridiplantae; Streptophyta; Magnoliopsida; Malvales; Malvaceae. The record is from RNAcentral.